UGGCUCAGGAUGAACGCUAGCGGCAGGCUUAACACAUGCAAGUCGAACGGUAACAGAAGAGCUUGCUCUUGCUGACGAGUGGCGAACGGGUGCGUAACGCGUAUACAACUUGCCUUUUACUAAGGAAUAGCUCAGAGAAAUUUGAAUUAAUACCUUAUAAUAUCUUCGAUUCGCAUGUUUUGAAGAUUAAAGAUUUAUCGGUAAAAGAUGGGUAUGCGUGAUAUUAGCUUGUUGGUGAGGUAACGGCUCACCAAGGCAACGAUAUCUAGGGGGUCUGAGAGGAUGAUCCCCCACACUGGUACUGAGACACGGACCAGACUCCUACGGGAGGCAGCAGUGAGGAAUAUUGGUCAAUGGACGAAAGUCUGAACCAGCCAUGCCGCGUGUAGGAUGAAUGCCCUAUGGGUUGUAAACUACUUUUAUAUAGGAAGAAACCUUUUCAUUUAUGAAAAGCUGACGGUACUAUACGAAUAAGCAUCGGCUAACUCCGUGCCAGCAGCCGCGGUAAUACGGAGGAUGCAAGCGUUAUCCGGAUUUAUUGGGUUUAAAGGGUUCGUAGGCGGGAAAUUAAGUCAGUGGUGAAAGCCUGCAGCUCAACUGCAGAACUGCCAUUGAUACUGAUUUUCUUGAAUAUAUAUGAAGUGGGCGGAAUACGUCAUGUAGCGGUGAAAUGCACAGAUAUGACGUAGAACACCGAUAGCGAAGGCAGCUCACUAAUAUAUUAUUGACGCUCAGGAACGAAAGCAUGGGGAGCGAACAGGAUUAGAUACCCUGGUAGU
RNAcentral lists this ribosomal RNA (779 nucleotides) under uncultured marine bacterium. RNAcentral describes it as "bacterial SSU rRNA". It matches the Rfam family "Bacterial small subunit ribosomal RNA", at positions 20 to 794 of the family's 1533-position model. The record is from RNAcentral.